CUAUUAGAAAAAUGAAGACAGACUAGGAGAAAAUAUUUACAAAAUACACCAAAAAACUGUAUCCAAAAUAUAUAGUUCCAUAUCUCAUUAAUGAAAAGAGCCAAUUUUUAAAUAUACAAAACUUUCAUUCUAAGAAUACAGUAAUGGCUAACUGAACACAUGAGAGCGCAUACUCAUUAGAGAAAUGUAGAUUAACACAAGAUACUACUACACACUCAGAAGCCACAAUGCUUGUAUGAGGAAAUGUUCAUAGCAGCUUUAUUAAUAUUUUCUCACAAUGGAGAACCAACAAAAUGUUCAUUUAACAGAAUAGCUAAACAAAUUGUAGUACAUUCAUACAGUGGAAUACUACUCGGCAAUAAGAAAUACAUGGGUUCAACCUCUCAAAACGUUGUACUUAUGAAAGCAUUAAGUGAUUCAAUUUAGUUUCAGAGCUGGGAUGGGGAAGGAAACCCUACUCUUUAGUGAAAAAAAUCUGGAUGGUAGUUAAACUACCUAGAGUAACGCUUCAUUGCUUAGGUAGUGGUAUAAGGGAACUUUCUUUGGUCCUGAUGUGGCUGUGGGCCAAGAGUGUACAUUCUUAAAACUUGUAAAAGAUUUGUAUAUAUCAACUUUUUGUAAAUCUGACCUAAUGAGGUGUGUGUAGCAGAUAGUUCAGUGUACCAGAGCAGAACUGAGGACUCUGAAGCUAGAGUGUGAUGGUUCAAGGAGAAAUUUGAGUAUACAUCCAAUUUAGAUGUUUAAUUAUAAAUAUCAACCUAUUUGGGGGGCUUCUAACUCACGUGUGUUGUCAGUUGCUCAGUUGUGUCUGACUCUUUGUGACCCCAUGGACUGUAGCCCGCCCGGCUCCUCUGUCCAUGGGACCCUCCAGGCGAAAAAUAUUGGAGUAGGCUGCCAUGUCCUACUUCAACAGCAUAUGGGACAUCUCUUGACACUGCCAAAAGUUUUCUUCCAAUCUGAGUUACAUCACAAACCUCUCUGACUCUGCCUCAAUUUCAUCCUAGGUUUCUGGUUUGGGCACUCAGGAAAAUGCUGGAUUACAAGUAGUUUGAAGAUGGUUCACUGGGAAGUGGUGUUAUCUGGCUAAGACGAUACAAGUCUUUUCUCUUUCAUAGUGUGUCACAUUUACCACAUUCAGAUUAUGUCCCUGAAUCUCAUCAGUUAACACCAGGUGUUUGCCGAACAAGCCACCUGUCCCUAUAAAAAAAUCUGGCACUGUAGGACUGCACACACCUUUAGCAUCUUGCUUUUCUAAGAUCAACCUUUUCUUUUUAGAGCUGGGCUCUGUGGCACUCAGGAAUCUUGGUUCACUGACUAGAGAGCUAACCUGUGCCCUCUGCACUGGG
Long non-coding RNA from Bos taurus (domestic cattle), 1346 nucleotides. The record is from Ensembl. Lineage: Eukaryota; Metazoa; Chordata; Mammalia; Artiodactyla; Bovidae.